AGUUUGAUCCUGGCUCAGGAUGAACGCUAGCGGCAGGCUUAAUACAUGCAAGUCGAGGGGCAGCACAGGUAGCAAUACUGGGUGGCGACCGGCAAACGGGUGCGGAACACGUACGCAACCUUCCCAAAACUGGUGAAUAGCCCUCCGAAAGGAGGAUUAAUACACCGUACCAUAGCGAGGAGGCAUCUCCUUGCUAUUAUAGUAGCAAUACGGUUUUGGAUGGGCGUGCGCCUGAUUAGGUAGUUGGUGCGGGUAACGGCCCACCAAGCCUUCGAUCAGUAACUGGUGUGAGAGCACGACCAGUCACACGGGCACUGAGACACGGGCCCGACUCCUACGGGAGGCAGCAGUAAGGAAUAUUGGUCAAUGGACGCAAGUCUGAACCAGCCAUGCCGCGUGAAGGAUGAAGGCCCUCUGGGUUGUAAACUUCUUUUAUCUGGGACGAAAAACGGGCUUUCUAGCUCACUUGACGGUACCAGAGGAAUAAGCACCGGCUAACUCCGUGCCAGCAGCCGCGGUAAUACGGAGGGUGCAAGCGUUAUCCGGAUUUACUGGGUUUAAAGGGUGCGUAGGUGGGUAGGUAAGUCAGUGGCGAAAUCUUCAAGCUUAACUUGGAAACUGCCAUUGAUACUAUUUAUCUUGAAUAUCCCGGAGGUAAGCGGAAUAUGUCAUGUAGCGGUGAAAUGCUUAGAUAUGACAUAGAACACCCAUUGCGAAGGCAGCUUACUACAGGAUUAUUGACACUGAGGCACGAAAGCGUGGGGAUCAAACAGGAUUAGAUACCCUGGUAGUCCACGCCCUAAACGAUGGAUACUCGACAUCAGCGAUACACUGUUGGUGUCUGAGCGAAAGCAUUAAGUAUCCCACCUGGGAAGUACGAUCGCAGAUGAAACUCAAAGGAAUUGACGGGGUCCGCACAAGCGGUG
Molecule: ribosomal RNA, 926 nt
Filed under: uncultured bacterium
Lineage: Bacteria
Description: bacterial SSU rRNA
Rfam family: Bacterial small subunit ribosomal RNA
Source: RNAcentral